Long non-coding RNA from Prunus avium (sweet cherry), 574 nucleotides. RefSeq lists it as uncharacterized. The record is from RefSeq and is a predicted model, not a curated record. Lineage: Eukaryota; Viridiplantae; Streptophyta; Magnoliopsida; Rosales; Rosaceae.
AGCAGCCACCCCUUCCCCGACCCCAAUCCCUAGCCCCACCCCACUGCCCAGAUUCAUCCCCAAAAACCCAAGCCUCGACACCACCGCCUCCGCGUCCUCCACUUACGAAGAAUGGUCGACUGAGAAACUACUGUGGAUUUAAUCAACUUCUUGAUGCGAUUCAGAGCUCUAAAGCAAGAAUCUAAAAUCAAUUUCCUUUCAAGGUGGCCACAGGAAGUGAUUUGGAGGCAGCUGAAAUUCUCAUCAAUGUUGACCACAAAGAACCAUGUUGGUGGGUUUGGGUAACAGAAGAUAUGAUUCCGGGCAAAGUUGAGGAAAUGAGUGGAAUUGACAAUGAAAGCUAUGUUCUUGUUAGUGGGUAAAGCUCCGAUUCCCCUAUAUUCAUAUGGUUCUUCCAGUUCGAAUCACGGAAGCACUCAAUUCCCACAGAGAGAACGGGAGGAAUGGAUUGGGUUGGGGUACAGUACAGAGGUGGGUGCUUGAGGAAGUGGGGGAGAUGGCUGCCGUGCGGUGGAGGAAGAGGGAGAAGGGUGGGGUAUGCGUGUUGUGAGGGAAGGGGUUUGAUAUUUGUUAA